Long non-coding RNA from Sapajus apella (tufted capuchin), 3856 nucleotides. RefSeq lists it as uncharacterized. The transcript has 2 exons. The record is from RefSeq and is a predicted model, not a curated record. Lineage: Eukaryota; Metazoa; Chordata; Mammalia; Primates; Cebidae.
UGAAUGAGUGAAUGAACAUACAUACAUACAUAUACACAUACUGUUUUUAAACAUGUUUAUUGGGUGUAUAAAUGGCCUUUUAAGGCACAGUUAACAAAUAUAUAUUGAGUUGAAAAACACGUGUUCUUGCAUGCAGGAUUCUACCUUCUGGAAUGCAUCUGAUAGUACUACUUGAAAAUGUGUGUAGAAAUGCCCACGCUAGCAUAUUGGUAGUGGACAUGUAAAUAACAGCAAAACACAACAAAGGAAAAAGAAAAGUACAUAUAUGUGAGCAAUCCUUUUGGUUAUCCUGGGUUUUUAAGAUAAUGUCCACUGAAGAAAAGCAAAUCAAAUGCAGAGCAACUGAGCAGGAAACCGGGGGAAAAAUACUCUCAGAGUCAUAAGAUUAUCUCAUUACACUUAAGUUUUGCUGAUGCUUCAAGCUUCCUGGGUAAGUUGUGCCAAAGCACCUUUCUCUGAAAAUUUUCUUGCUGCAGAACAAACCACGUUUAGUGUCCGCACCUGGGGGAUGGGAAAAAGGGCACGGUCCUUAUUUGUAUUUUGGAGUGAAAGAAGCAUUAAAGUUCUUGCAAAAUUUACCAAGGAUUCUCCUGGUCUAAUUUCAGAUCAAACUUCCAACUCCAGGUAGCCUCUGCGGCUUUUUUUAAAAAUGUAUAAUUAAGAUGUACUUUGAUUUGGACUCUGUUGCUAUUGGGCCUGUAUAUGCAGUUUCAAGAUAUCCCCAUACACCUGCCUGUAAUGUUCCUUCUGGAACAGAAUGGGCUUCUGAGUUGAGGAACUUGGGAAUAUACUGAGUUUCUCUGUUCAUGCCAGGGGAUGGCUGUGGACAAAAAGUAAAGGAGGAGACGCCGGAAUCCUGAUGUCCAAAGAUUCCAAAGUUCAAGGAUUAUUGUAACCCUUCAGAUAUCUCAUUUUUGCUUUGUUCCUUCUGUCAGUCUUAGUAAAGGGCCCUAAAGUCAGAAGUUGCUGGGGCUUUCUCGGCUUCAGCUUCAGCUUCGUAUUUAAGCCCAUGGGGCUGGGGACAGGGUUGCACACAGCACUUCACUGGGCACCUCCUGAUCCUGGCCAUGCGUCCUAAAAUCUGACAGUUCUUACACGUUCUCCGUGGGUUGAGGAGCAGGGAGGGCAGUGAGUCAGCAUCAAUCACAGGUGGCAUUCAGAGGUUCUUGUGAGGAUAUAUUUUUGGAUUUGGGUAUUGGUUUUUCAGGAUAGGAGACAGACAAGUGGCCCAUUAGGUGUCUGGAAAUUCAUAAUGCAAAGUCAUAUCCACAACUUAUUGUAAACAGAAACACAGAGAAAGAACCAAAGGAUGCAAGGUUGAUGAUGAUAAUCCAGCUGAGUAGAUCGUCUUAGAUUAUGGAUGCCAAGCAGACUCUACAGAACACAGUGGGGCUCCCAGGGUGAGGGAGAGUGAGGUAGAGGGAAAGUUUUCCUCUUCAGCUGGACUUUUUCCUGCCUGAGGAAUUCAGUUGAUUGCAUUAGCUUUACAUGUGAUCUAAUCAGUCCAAUGCAGUCACAUUCGAUCUAAUAAUCUCCCCCACUUUCAAGCUAGGAAAGGAUAUUUUGUUUGGUGUUUACUUUUUCUCUGCGUUAUCACCUUACCACAUAUGCGUCUAUCUAAUAUAAUGGACCAUAAUUUGAUAUUUGUCAUUUCCAAGCAUUUCAAAAAUUGUAACAUCUGUGUGUACAAUUUUAACACUAUAUAUUAUUUUCUUCAUGUGCAAAAUAUAUAUACAUAUGUCAAUAUGUUGUCUGUCUUAUUCUGCACCUUGAAAGCUGGGCAGGGUCUUAAAUACUUCUAGGUGGGAAUUGGGACACAUAUCAGAUAGGGAUAAGUUCCUUACGUUCCUGUUCCUGUGCCCCCAGCUUUGAAUUCUUGCUUAUUAACACGAUGAUGGGGCUUUGCAAAUCUCCCCUUAUCUUUGUCUAGGUCCCCAGGGCAUUGACGAUGGAAAAAUUUCUUAUUGAGGCCAUGAUGAGUGGCAGGAGGGAGAAAUCUCUUCAGCCAAUAGGAGCGAGUCAUGCCCAGCUUAAGGGGUUAGAAAAGCCAGGUUCACAGGAACAACCUGGACCUCAUUCUGGGCAUGUGUUGUGUGAGAGAGCACCUUUCACUGGAGCUUCACCAUGGGAUGGGGAACUGAAGACCAGACUGCCACUGCCCCUCCAUCCAAUGCCCCAUUGACCCACCUUCUUUCCACCAGAUCUCCUUUACACAAAGUGACUUGGAUAAGGAGAAGAGACCAUUAGAAGAAAAGACGCUCUCUUCUCAUUUAAGUAAGGGCCACGCCCAGGCAAGAAUCAGGGUCCAGCUCAGAUGUGGGAAUUCCAGGAAGAGAGAAAUUCAUUCCAUGGACAGCUGCCAAGAUAGAGCAGCUAGGAUCUUGCUUUUUUGUUGCAAAGGUCAGAUGAGAAGGUAAUUUAUACAGAGCUUGAGCAGUAAAGGGGUGUCUCAGUGGCUGUGAGGAUUUUAGAGAUCCUGACAUCCAGAGAGCAUUUGACCCAGGAGGGGCUUAGCCUCACUUCCUUAGGGAGGCAGAGGGGGCCGGGAAGGAGGAGAGAUUAAUGGGGCUCACCUGAAGGUGCAUGGGGACCUUCUGGGAAUAAGCAUCCAUGGGAGCCGUUCUGGUAAGUCACUCACAUGCUUCCUCUUCAGGACACCAUCAAGGACAUGAGCCAAAAUUGUGAAAGGAUUGCUUGAUUCUGGAAAAGGAACCAAAGGCCUCUGACCCUGUACACAUCAGUGAAAUGAGGAGACCCAUGAGGCCUGCUGUGGCUCACCCCCAGAGGCCCACACUGGGCAGAGCAAGUGGUCCAGAUCUUAAUCUCUAGGAGACCACCCACUGCCACUUCGGAAACGCAUGGUGACCUCUCUGCACACUCCGUCUGAAGCCAUUUAUCACAAAACAGCAGGUGUGGGACCAGCAGGUCUAUUCUUUGCUGAUCUGGGAACAGCUGUCUGAGCUCACCUGGCUCCAGAGACUUCUGUGCUGUUGUACAGACCUGUGCUGUGGCCACCCAGGUGGCCUCUGUCUUUCUCGCUGAAGGCUGGCUCAUCCCAGCCUCGCUGCCUGUUCCCUAGGAUCCAGCCCUGGAUGGAGAAGCUCAGAGCUCCUAGGAAGAAAAUGGGCCCACCCCUUCCUUGGACAGAAGAUAAAGGAGCCUGUUGGUGGAUCAAAUGAGGCUUUAGCUGGGGGCACCCAGACCCUAUUCAACAGAGGACACAGCUGUAAAGUGAGAACAAAGACCUGCUAUUUCUCAGGCAAUUUUAGACACACUGUGUUAAUACAGUACGUGACACAACGAGGGGCAGUCUUGGGAAAGGAGUUUGAACAGUAUCCUCUAAGUGGAAACUGUUUCAUUUAGGUCUAAAACUACUCACAAAUUUUGUAUUUCAUGAUAGACAUUUGAUAUUUUUGGAUGUUUUAUGACAUUCACGCAUUUCUUUGUAAUCAGAAAAUAUUAGGGUAUAAUCAUUCAUAUGUGUUUGUGUAUUACAAAGUACAGCAAAAUGAAUGUAUAUGUAGAUCCUCCCACUUUAAGUCAGAAAAGUCUAUAGCUCUUUACUCUCCCAUUCUGAGUCAAUAAAGCACUGAUAUCUACUAAAUUUUAACAGCAUUGUCUCUGGAGAAAUGUUGGUAUUUUUCAAUUUGAUGAAACAAUAAAAUCGCCAUGCCAUUUUCUUUGCUCUAAAACUGUCGGAAUGUAUUAAGUGCUUAUUGAUUAUAUUUCUUUCUUCUUCAACCUGGAUUAUAUUAUUUGCCUAAUUUUAAUCUUCCAUUUUAUAGGUUUCAAUUGAGCUUAUUUUUUAAAAAAUAGAUUUAUUAAAGUAGCAUUAACUUUCAAUAAGCUGCACAUA